UUGUCAGUUUUGGUUCAUUACAUAUCACCCUCAGCCUCACGGUUUUUAAAACGUAUCUACUAGGGAGAGGUUUCCACACUUUUAUAAAAAAUGUUUCGUUCUCCUCUCCAACCGACAUGGAAUCCCACGAUUAGAUCAGUCCAAGCUAUUAUUGUUCAUUGCAAACCACGACCAUUAGGCCAAUUCUGACCAGUGUCAGAGUUAUGCUCAAAACCAUUUGGUUCUAUUCAUUUGGAUUCAAGUUACUUAGUCUCCAACCACUCCAUUAUGAGAUCAUCUAACCCCAUAAUUAUACAUCACUCCAACCACAAUCCUACUCAACCAGUUCAAUCUAUGGAAAAAAAUCAAAACUUUUUUAACUUUUUUGACCUUAAACUAACCAACCCAUCUCCUAACAGGCUGAUAAUUAUUCCCAAAACAAACACCAACUCCCCCCUUUGAGUUUCUUUAUUGCUAUGUACUUUCAUCAAUGGAAGAAGCUAAACAACAAUGGAGCUUAUCGUAUCCCUGAUACUCAUACUUCUGGGAAUUGCCAUUUUGGUGUUGAUUAACGUGUGGAUAGUUGGGAGAGCAUUGAGGGGAGGGUUUGAAAAUGAAACGACGACUGUGGGAAGAAGCAACAACAAUAACGGGGAAGCAACAGGCUGCAUGCGCAGAGAUGACUUGGAGAAGCUUCCUUGCUUUCAAUAUAUGGCUAUGGAGGAACCAAUGGGCAGCCCUGUGGAUUGUGCAGUUUGCUUGGGGAAAUUCCAGAUGGGCGAGAAGUGCAGGCUGUUGCCUAUUUGCAAGCACAGCUUCCACGCUCAGUGCGUUGAUGAGUGGCUUUUGCUGACUCCUGCUUGCCCCAUUUGUCGAACAAGCACUCUUGAGUCUCUAAAAGGAGCUGAUGUAGAUGAAAGAUCAUGAACGAUAACGUUUCAACCGUUUGAACAAAGAGAACUGCUGGUUUGUUCCUCUCCCCACCUGACCAAUGAAACAGGGAAGGCAUUAAAUGAGGGCUGCCAUAGAAAGAUGACAAAAGGGCUGGCUAGAAGUCACUGCUGGCCAUGGUGGCUGUCUGGCUGGCUGCCUGGCUGCCUUCCAACCUCGAACUCAUCAGCUCAUCAGCUCAUCAGGAAUAAGUACUCCAAAGCCAAAGAGUAAAGACAGAGACACAGCCAAGAAAUACUGAGUGGCCAAACAGUGAACAGUGGUUUUGGUAAUGGAUCUUGAUGUGAGUUGUUGUGACAGAGUGCCACUUCCUUUAACUCUUCUUCAUUUCAUUUCCUUUUCAACUAUAUGCCAUUUUUGGGGUAUUUUUGCCAACAUAUUUGAAUAUAUACUUAACGCGCAUAGAAUUAUGAGAUAAUCUAAUUAA
Cucurbita moschata (crookneck pumpkin) is the source of this 1357-nucleotide long non-coding RNA. RefSeq lists it as uncharacterized. The record is from RefSeq and is a predicted model, not a curated record. NCBI's taxonomy places the organism in Eukaryota, Viridiplantae, Streptophyta, Magnoliopsida, Cucurbitales, Cucurbitaceae. The transcript has 2 exons.